GUAGGGGGCAAGCGUUGUCCGGAAUUAUUGGGCGUAAAGCGCGCGCAGGCGGUCUCUUAAGUCUGAUGUGAAAGCCCACGGCUCAACCGUGGAGGGUCAUUGGAAACUGGGAGACUUGAGUGUAGGAGAGGAAAGUGGAAUUCCACGUGUAGCGGUGAAAUGCGUAGAUAUGUGGAGGAACACCAGUGGCGAAGGCGACUUUCUGGCCUACAACUGACGCUGAGGCGCGAAAGCGUGGGGAGCAAACAGGGAUUAGAUACCCUGGUAGUCCACGCUGUAAACGAUGAGUGCUAGGUGUUAGGGGGUUUUCGAUGCCCCCCUUAGUGCCGAAGUUAACACAUUAAGCACUCCGCCUGGGGAGUACGGCCGCAAGGCUG
This 377-nucleotide ribosomal RNA is filed under the name uncultured organism. RNAcentral's name for it is "partial 16S ribosomal RNA". It matches the Rfam family "Bacterial small subunit ribosomal RNA", at positions 527 to 896 of the family's 1533-position model. The record is from RNAcentral.